GAUGAACGCUGGCGGCGUGCCUAAUACAUGCAAGUCGAGCGAGAAUUUUUCAAAUGACACCUCGGUUGAUUUUGGAAACGGACAGCGGCGGACGGGUGAGUAACGCGUAGGCAACCUGCCCCUGACAGAGGGAUAGCCAUUGGAAACGAUGAUUAAAACCUCAUAACGCCGAAGGAACACAUGUUUCAUCGGCCAAAGAUUUAUCGGUCAGGGAUGGGCCUGCGUCUGAUUAACUAGUUGGUGAGGUAACGGCUCACCAAGGUGACGAUCAGUAGCCGACCUGAGAGGGUGAUCGGCCACAUUGGAACUGAGACACGGUCCAAACUUCUACGGAAGGCAGCAGUAGGGAAUCUUGCACAAUGGGCGAAAGCCUGAUGCAGCAACGCCGCGUGAAGGAUGAAGGCCUUCGGGUUGUAAACUUCUGUUCUUAGGGAAGAAGAAAGUGACGGUACCUAAGGAGAAAGCCCCGGCUAACUACGUGCCAGCCGCCGCCGUAA
Molecule: ribosomal RNA, 497 nt
Filed under: uncultured bacterium
Lineage: Bacteria
Description: partial 16S ribosomal RNA
Rfam family: Bacterial small subunit ribosomal RNA
Source: RNAcentral